ACCUGCCUGAGUAUUUGUUUUUCUGUUGUCUUUCAGUGGGUUUCUGCUGGCGUACAAUGUCCUGAAAACGAAGAAAAAUCCUGCUCUUAUCGGCACCGUAGCCUUAUUGCGCAGAAUCAUCAGGGUUACCGUUCCCGUGUUUUUCGUCCUGAUGUGCUUCUGCCUGCUGCCACUGGUAGCCACUGGUCCGAACACCGUCAUGCUGUUCAGCAAGUUCCACAGCGAGCUGGAACGACACUGGUGGAGGCUGAUCCUUCAGAUCCGGAACUUCGCCAACGCCAACGAAUUGGAAUGCUUUUCGCACUUGUGGUACCUGUCGACCGACUUCCAGCUGUUCUUGGUCUGUGUCACUAUUCUUCUACUCUUCAAAGGG
This is a long non-coding RNA of Dermacentor silvarum, 373 nucleotides long. RefSeq lists it as uncharacterized. The record is from RefSeq and is a predicted model, not a curated record. The transcript is spliced from 3 exons. NCBI's taxonomy places the organism in Eukaryota, Metazoa, Arthropoda, Arachnida, Ixodida, Ixodidae.